RNAcentral lists this unclassified non-coding RNA (749 nucleotides) under Hevea brasiliensis (rubber tree). Lineage: Eukaryota; Viridiplantae; Streptophyta; Magnoliopsida; Malpighiales; Euphorbiaceae. The record is from RNAcentral.
CCCACAUCCUGCUCAACACUGCCAAAGGUAUUGCCAUUUCUAUUCGCGUCAACUUCAGGUUCCAAAGACGGCCCCGGCAUAUGGUCCACAUUAAAGAAGUAAUCCCAAGCCAUAUUCUUGGACUCCGGCAUUGGUGGCACGGCGUGAUUUUCCGGUGUCCUUGGUGGGGACCGCGGUGUUUCCUCCGGUCCCACCUUCCCAUUAGGUGGGCCCCGCGACCCGCUAAAAUCUUUAUUCUUUUUAUCAUUAUUGACAUUCCCAUUUCGAGCUCCGUGAUCUAAUCCACGUUCCUCUUCCUCCUCAUCCUCCUCCUCUUCCUCUGCAAUGGCAGUGGAAUCAAUUUCUUCCCCCGCCUUUCGAUGCAGCUUCAUGGGGAUCUCCGGCAUGCUCAACGCACGCUUGAUGGGAUUAGGACUAGGACUAGGAGAGAAAUCAGGCAGCGGAGGAGGAGGAGGAAGUGGAAAGCUCUCCAUGGACGGUGGAGGAGGAGGGGGAGGCGGAGGAGGCUGAGAAAUGGGCUCAAGGGGAGAUUGCUGGAGGUGGGAGUGGGGUUCUUGGACUUCACCCUGGGCAUAAUCACUAAGCGCAGCACCGGUAUUCUUAAGAGAAAUAGCAUAGCCAGAAUGACCAGCAGCGAAGGCGUUCCGAGUAACCACAGCCUCCUUCAUAAGGAUUUUCCUCUCCUUACACCUGGCCACCGAUUCUUCAUCGUCCACCUUAGACUGAGCACAGCCCAUUUCGAGGACUAC